This is a non-coding RNA of Sus scrofa (pig), 3039 nucleotides long. Lineage: Eukaryota; Metazoa; Chordata; Mammalia; Artiodactyla; Suidae. The record is from RefSeq and is a predicted model, not a curated record.
UAUGCCAUGGGUGUGGCCCUAAAAGGACAAAAGACAAAAAAAGGAUAUGAAUUUAUUGGAGACUGUGGACCAGGAGGGAGGGAGGAAUUCUUGGCAUAGGAGGUAGCAUAUGAAGAGAGAUGUGUGGCCAGAGAAUGGGCUACCCCUUUGCUGAAAAGGUAAGCCAUUUAGGCUAUUAUCAGAUUUCACAGGGGCCUGUUUACCAUGCUAAUGACUUUGUCCUUCUGUCAGUGGGAAGCCACUGAGAGUUUUGAUGCCAGAAAGUGACAUGUCAGAUUGCCUUCUGGCAGCUUGGAAAAAUAGAUCCACCCAACAGAUCCCCACAUCUCCACUGCUGUACAUAGGCCUAGAGCUGCAUCUCUCAAACUGGAUCCAUGAGUUGUCAGAGAGUGUUCAUCAGUAAAAGAGAUCCAUGAUCACUAAGGUAAGCAAUCAUUUCCUUGCUGUCGAACUCCUCAGAGCCUUUAAUCUGUUAUUGGGACUUGUGGCCUUUUAAGAGGGCUGUAGAAGGUGGUCAGAUCCCACACUGAAGAGUUGACUUUGUCCAAGGUUCCUGGUCCCAUCAGUUUGCCAACUAGUAAAGUCUGCUAGCAGGAGGUGGGAUAAAUCCUCUUGUGUUCCAGUCUUCUGAGUCUCUUGAUUCCAGAAAUCAAGAGCCAUCCACCUGUACACAGAGAUACUACCUGUGGAAAGUAAGUGUUCUUUCAGAUGCCCUGGGAAGGAAGAUAGGCCAUAGCCCAUGGACUCGGAUGAGCCAGAAGGAUUCUGAUUCGUCAGGGUCCUGAGAAACAUUGUCAGCAGAUACUUUCUCCCCUUUUCACCCAUUUUUGAAGUAAUCGGACCUCAGCUUUCUCCUGCCUGUGACAGUCCAUAUCUUUACAUGGCUGAGACCAAAGCCCCUUAAAAAGGAAGCUGACAACAAAAAGUUAACUGGGUAUAGAUGAAAGAACAUCAGAUCAUGGUCCUAAAGGCAAAGAUUUGAAUCUCUGAUUUCCUUUUUCUAACUCUAGUUCUAUCAGUUAGGAAUGCAUCUAGCGUUUAGCUACUAGCAGUGGCCUAAGCAGACAGCAGCUCCUGUUUGCAUGACAGGGUGUUUACAGGUGGGCAGUUUCUCACUGGUUCAGAAGCUUUCCAGUGUCAGAGCACUUUAUUGGCACUUGACAUCUUCUUGAUCUUUUCCUCAUGGCUAAAAGAAGGUUGCAACCACUCCGAACGUGUCAAAACUGCAGUUGGAGAAGGAAGGGUGCAAGAUGGCAGAAAAGAAAAGAGUUCCUACCUACAUGCUUUCCUCUUGUCAGGAAGUAAGUCUUUCCCAAAACACCUCCUCUGUAAAAUCUCCUUCUUAGACCUCGCUAGCCACAUGUGGGCCAAGACUGAGGACUGAAGUCACUUGCAGAAUCAAUGGCUUUCCGAAGACCUAGACAAACUAUGAUUCCACCACAGGUGAAAAGCAAAUGAACUGAAUGGCUUUGGAGAGAGCCAAGAAAACCAUGCCAUCCUCACCUUUUGCACCAUCAUGGCCUCUGUUUCUUCAUUCUCAAUAAACCUUCCCUUAAAGGUUGUUAAGGAAAAUAAGCAAAGUGGCACAUAAUCACUGCUAAAAAAUUAAAGUGUUGGCAUUUUUCAGUAGGCAGUCUUUAUUCUUCUAUAUGUCAUGCUUCUUUUUUUUUUUUUUUUAAGCUAUUUUUAAGAUUUUCUCUUAGGUCCAUUGGAUUUCCUGGAUUUGUUUUCAUCAGUCUGAAAUGUUUUGACCAUUAUUUGUUCAAAUAUUCUUCUGUUCCCCCUACUUACCUGUUAGGGACUCCAACUUCACUUUUAUUAAACAGCUUAAAGCUGUCUCAUGGCUCAGUGAGCUAUUUUCAUAUUUUUGGAUUCUCUUUUCUUUGUUUCACUUUGGAUAGUUUCUGUUACUCUAGCUUCAACUUCCUUAGUCUUUUCUUCUGCAGAGUCUAAUUUUGCAUUAUUCCCAUCCAAUGUAUUUUUCAUCUCACAUAUUGAAGUUUUCAUUCUUGAAAGUUCAGUAUAGACCCUUUUUUAAACCUUCCAUUCCUCUAGUUAACUUUUGAAACACGUGGAAUGCAUUUAUAAUAAGUGUUUCAGUGUAUUUGUCUAUAACUCUAUCAUGUGCGUCAGUCCUGGAUUAACGACUAUUGGUUGAUUUCUCUCCUUAUCUAGGGUCACGUUUUCCUACUGCUUUGUAUGGCUGGUAAUUUUAGAUUGUUCACCAGACAUUGUGACUUUUGUCUUAUUGGAUGCUAGGUAUUUUGCCUUCCUAAAACUAUUUUUGGGCUUUGUUCUGUAAAGUGGUUAUAUUGCCUUGAAACAGUUUGAUGCCUUUGUGCAUUGCUGUUAAGAUUUAUUAGGCAGUACCAGACCAGUAUUUCCUGUAGAGCUAAUCAUUCCCCACAUCUGAGGCAAGAUCUACUAGGAACAGUACCUAAUUCACCAUGGAUCAUGAUGUUUUCACUCUGCUUCAUGGGAACUGGCUGUAUUCUUGGUCCUAUGUGAGCACUGGGCACUGAUCCUUUUAGAUUAUUCUCCCCCAGCCAUUGAUAGUGUGCUUACAUGCAUGCACCAAUAAAUACUCACCUGAAUACUUGAGGGGUUGAGGGUACCCUCUGUAGAUCUUCAAGGGUUUUCUCUGUGUGCAGUUCUCUCUUCUCUGGAAUUCUGCCUUUCCACUCGAGUCACCUUGAUCUCCACAGGCUCUCAGCUCCAUCUUCUCAACUCAGAGAGCAUGAUGGGUUCCUCCUGGAGCCCUCUGUCUCUUUCUAUGAAUUAAGCUUGACAACCAUAAGAUGCACUAUGGUCUUUGUGUUUCAUAGCUCAAGAAUCAUUAUGCCUCCUUGCCUGUUAUCUAGUGUCUUGAAAAUAAGUGUUCAUAUACAUAUAUUUAAGCCAUUUUUUGGUUGUUUUCAGUUGAGAAAGCACAUUUUAUCCCUGCAACUCCACCUUGCCUAGAGUAGAAGACAGUUACCAUCUCUUUUGAUUAAUAUGUCUUUUUUUUUUUUUUAAGUCAGUGAACCACUUAUAAGCUGC